AGCUCCAAUAGCGUAUAUUAAAGUUGUUGCAGUUAAAAAGCUCGUAGUUGGAUUUCUGUUAGGAUCACUCGGCCCGCUCUUUGAGUGUGCGCUUGAGAAAUCUUAGCAUCCUCCUGGUGUAUCUGUCCUUUGGGCAGUUUUCCAGGACUUUUACUUUGAGAAAAUUAGAGUGUUUCAAGCAGGCUUGUUGCCUUGAAUACUGCAGCAUGGAAUAAUAAGAUAGGAUUUUGGUCCUAUUUUGUUGGUUUCUAGGACUAAAGUAAUGAUUAAUAGGGACAGUUGGGGGCAUUCGUAUUUAACUGUCAGAGGUGAAAUUCUUAGAUUUGUUAAAGACGAACUACUGCGAAAGCAUUUGCCAAGGAUGUUUUCA
RNAcentral lists this ribosomal RNA (370 nucleotides) under uncultured eukaryote. RNAcentral's name for it is "SSU rRNA". It matches the Rfam family "Eukaryotic small subunit ribosomal RNA", at positions 587 to 972 of the family's 1831-position model. The record is from RNAcentral.